UAUUGGAAACCUGAAGACGUUCUGUGCGGGAAUUCUAAAAAAACUGCCCCCCCCCCUCUUCUUAAAGAGAUCGAGGCGGUUCGCGGUGGGCAUUCCGGCGUUGACCCGUUCACGCCACGGCGCAAUACUCGCUCCUCGGCGAUGGCAGGACCGAAAAAAUCAAAGGCCACGGCAGCUGAGGCGGUGCUGCUAAAGGCCCUUGGCAUUGCGCAUGACGAUCUGGCAAUGCACGAUGGCGCGCUGGGACAGUUGCGCGAACUGUUCGACUCUCCAAUCCAGGAGCCCCAGCUCAAGGCGAUUGCGGCCAUCUUCGGCAAAUCUAUCCAGUUUGACCUGGGCAAGGAGGAGGCCGCAAGGGUGAUUGUGCUUGCCUAAUUGGCAGGCCCCGGCGCGACUAUCCGCUGCUAUGUCGUCGCCUAAUCUGGAGUUGGUGUGCUGGAACGUGCGCGACCUCAACAGCCCCGCGAAGAAAAAGGCGCUGCGGGAAUUCGCAGAUACGACUCACCCGGCGAUUUUCUGUAUUCAGGAGACUAAAUUGGC
RNAcentral lists this ribosomal RNA (540 nucleotides) under Triticum aestivum (bread wheat). RNAcentral describes it as "partial small subunit ribosomal RNA". Lineage: Eukaryota; Viridiplantae; Streptophyta; Magnoliopsida; Poales; Poaceae. The record is from RNAcentral.